UUUUUCAUUGAAAAUAGUCAUUGCGUUCUAUGUGAUGAGGAGCCCAAUGAAUAUCUCCAACAUCUUUUUUUCAGCUAUGAUUUCAGCCAAUUUUUUUGGAUGAAUUUGAACCUUGAGUGGAACAUUGAUCUGAAUAUCAAUGACAUGAUGAUUGAAGCCAAAAACAGAACCAAACUAAUAGGGUUUAAAGAAUGCAUUAUGGCAGGAUGUUGGAGCAUAUGGAAGCACAGGAAUGUUAUCAUCUUUGACAACAAGACCAAAGACAUUGCAUACUGCAUAUCUUGCUUCAAGGAGCACAUCACCAUUAUCAUUAAGAAGGCAAAACCAAGCCUAAAAGAGGGAAUGCAAAGUUGGGUAGACACAUUGUAA
This 369-nucleotide ribosomal RNA is filed under the name Triticum aestivum (bread wheat). Its description in RNAcentral is "partial small subunit ribosomal RNA". The record is from RNAcentral. Lineage: Eukaryota; Viridiplantae; Streptophyta; Magnoliopsida; Poales; Poaceae.